ACAUGUGUUUUUUGAGCUGUCUGCCUGUUUUUGAAUCCUGUCUCUGCCUAAUGUUUCGGGCAUUGUUGCUUGUAACGGCCUGCCUUUUUGUGUAC
Thalassophryne amazonica is the source of this 95-nucleotide long non-coding RNA. RefSeq lists it as uncharacterized. Lineage: Eukaryota; Metazoa; Chordata; Actinopteri; Batrachoidiformes; Batrachoididae. The record is from RefSeq and is a predicted model, not a curated record. The transcript is spliced from 3 exons.